Molecule: ribosomal RNA, 477 nt
Filed under: uncultured bacterium
Lineage: Bacteria
Description: bacterial SSU rRNA
Rfam family: Bacterial small subunit ribosomal RNA
Source: RNAcentral
AAUCAACGCUGGCGGCGUGCCUAACACAUGCAAGUCGAACGCGAAAGGGGCUUCGGCCCUGAGUAGAGUGGCGUCCGGGUGAGUAACGCGUGGGUAAUCUACCUUCGGGUGGGGAAUAACCAGUCGAAAGGCCGGCUAAUACCGCAUAAUGCAGCGGCACGACAUCGUGACAGUUGUUAAAGGAGCAAUCCGCCUGAAGAGGAGCCUGCGUCUGAUUAGCUUGUUGGGAGGUAACGGCUCACCAAGGCUUCGAUCAGUAGCUGGUCUGAGAGGACGGCCAGCCACAAUGGCACUGAAACACGGGCCAUACUCCUACGGGAGGCAGCAGUGGGGAAUUUUGGGCAAUGGGCGAAAGCCUGACCCAGCAACGCCGCGUGAAGGAUGAAGUAUUUCGGUAUGUAAACUUCGAAAGAAUAGGAAGAAUAAAUGACGGUACUAUUUAUAAGGUCCGGCUAACUACGUGCCAGCAGCCGCCGC